RNAcentral lists this ribosomal RNA (253 nucleotides) under uncultured bacterium. Its description in RNAcentral is "partial 16S ribosomal RNA". It matches the Rfam family "Bacterial small subunit ribosomal RNA", at positions 524 to 776 of the family's 1533-position model. The record is from RNAcentral.
UACGAAGGGGGCUAGCGUUGUUCGGAAUUACUGGGCGUAAAGCGCACGUAGGCGGACUAUUAAGUCAGGGGUGAAAUCCCGGGGCUCAACCCCGGAACUGCCUUUGAUACUGGUAGUCUCGAGUCCGGAAGAGGUGAGUGGAAUUCCGAGUGUAGAGGUGAAAUUCGUAGAUAUUCGGAGGAACACCAGUGGCGAAGGCGGCUCACUGGUCCGGUACUGACGUUGAGGUGCGAAAGCGUGGGGAGCAAACAGG